This 492-nucleotide ribosomal RNA is filed under the name uncultured bacterium. Its description in RNAcentral is "partial 16S ribosomal RNA". It matches the Rfam family "Bacterial small subunit ribosomal RNA", at positions 29 to 507 of the family's 1533-position model. The record is from RNAcentral.
AGUGAACGCUGGCGGUAGGCCUAACACAUGCAAGUCGAACGGCAGCACAGUAAGAGCUUGCUCUUACGGGUGGCGAGUGGCGGACGGGUGAGGAAUACAUCGGAAUCUACUUUUUCGUGGGGGAUAACGUAGGGAAACUUACGCUAAUACCGCAUACGACCUACGGGUGAAAGCAGGGGAACUUCGGACCUUGCGCGAUUGAAUGAGCCGAUGUCGGAUUAGCUAGUUGGCGGGGUAAAGGCCCACUAAGGCGACGAUCCGUAGCUGGUCUGAGAGGAUGAUCAGCCACACUGGAACUGAGACACGGUCCAGACUCCUACGGGAGGCAGCAGUGGGGAAUAUUGGACAAUGGGCGCAAGCCUGAUCCAGCCAUACCGCGUGGGUGAAGAAGGCCUUCGGGUUGUAAAGCCCUUUUGUUGGGAAAGAAAAGCAGCAGGUUAAUACCCCGCUGUUCUGACGGUACCCAAAGAAUAAGCACCGGCUAACUUCGUG